This is an RNA transcript of Triticum aestivum (bread wheat), 2472 nucleotides long. RefSeq lists it as uncharacterized. The transcript has 10 exons. NCBI's taxonomy places the organism in Eukaryota, Viridiplantae, Streptophyta, Magnoliopsida, Poales, Poaceae. The record is from RefSeq and is a predicted model, not a curated record.
GGACCUGAAGCUGCUGCUUGGUGCCCAUCUUGCAGAGUCCAUCAACGCCGUGUUCCCAGUCAUCACCUGUCGUAAACCAGCCAACACUAUUCUUGUUCCAAACAGGUUCAUCAGGUUUCGCAUCCUGCUGCUGUUGCACUCCCCUGUAAAACGAUCUUUGCCAAUCGCAAAAAUAAAAUAAAAUAAUGUGUAUGGUACACCAUGGCACAACUAAUUUCCUUGGACAAAUCCUUCAUGUUGGGGACAUGGUGUGGUCUUGUGAUGAUAUUUGUGGUCCUUAUAUUGAUCCUAGGAGAUAACAUAGAAAAAUGUAUUCACUAAUGACUGCAAGCUUAGCUAGAAGUUUCCACUUGUAUGGGCAGUGCUUAAUUUCUUGGCACUUCAGCUUAUUUCAUUUGCUUUUAUUCUUGGUACAAUGAUGCUAUAGUUAUAUUAGUAGUCUGCUAUUCAGGUUAUUGCUUAAUAUUUUCUUUUAUAGGCAGGGUAAGAGGAAGCCUGGUGCAAACCAUAGCCACUAUAAGAGGCUUUUGGGGGUUGCCCGUUUGCUGUCCCAGAUGGCUGAACCUGUUAUGAAGGGAGCAGUGUAUCCUUUUUUUGUUAUUCUGUUAUUUUCUUAGCAGAAAUAAAAUAAGGUGUGCACCCGCACUUGGGUUGCCACUGAAAAGGAAAUAAAUCUCGUAGUAACUUUCAUUCGGAGUUGAUUGCUACCUAUCCAAAGUUCCUUAAUCCAUACUACAGCCAGAUCAGCUUUUUACUUGCUAGAUCUUUUUUUGUAGAACUUUGCACUGCAGUGCUUGCUUUGCUUGCAAGAGUGAGGGUCCUGACCCAACAGGUGAGCCACAUCAAACCCAUUAGGAGUCGCGUAAAUGGCGCCCUCUGGUGCAUGCCACGUUGAUCGCGUGGGUUGGGCAGGACCGCAGGAGGGCCUCCUCCUUGCCAUUUUGAGUGGGCCACGUAUUGCAAGUUGAUUGGGAAAACUGAAAGGACCGGCAACCUCCAAGCCUCGUUGCUCUAUUUCCUCCUCUAGGGUUUCCAUGUAGCCCCGCCGCCGCCCCGAUGCGCCUCUGCUGCCCUUCUCCCCCACCACCUCCGGCUCGAGCACAGCCCGACCUCACUGGCCCAAGCAGGGGUGGCGCGCCUCGUCCUCGCCUUCCUCUCAGCUCGGAGAGAGGCGACGGCUGGAUUUGGCUAAGUGGCCAGCGAGGAGGACGACUUCACCCCGCAGCCGAUGCCAACCAGCCACUUCCCUCGAGCGUCGCCAUGUUCCUCACGCGUCGCCGACCGGCGGCGAGGAAGAGGACAUCAUGAGGUUCGAGGAAGUUUCCAUCCCCACCGGCGAAGAGGACGAGGACCUCCGAUAUGACAACUCGGCUGAUAACUUUAGAAGAGCAAACAUGGUUCUAGUAUUGGAGUCUGAGCUGAUAGGACCGUGCCGUGUAGGUGGAAAGUGAUUCAAGAAAUAUAUAUAGCGUUUACCUGAAUGCACAAGAGUUGUUGCUGAGACUUCAUUAGUACAGGAGGUUGCCCACCACAAUGGUUUUGAUAUUACUUUGUGGCUCAAUUUAGUGCAGCUUCAACCAGCUACUGAAGUUGACCUCAUUCCUAGAUUGCAGAACUGUUACGACAAAACAGAGUGUGAUUCCUCUCUUAUCAGAGACCUAGACCGACCCAACAACAAGGGGAAGUAAGAAAUUUCCACAAAAGCACAGUAAAAACAUGCUCCUACUGGAUUUCACCGAGCACAGCAGCAACAUCAAGUAGAGAGGAUCGGAGCACCUGGUGUUGGCAGGGAGGAGCGAGUCUUUGGGGUCGGGCCGAUUGGGGAUACCUCUUGAUCCUCUGCGACACUGCGAUUAAAAUACUCAAUGACGAUAUGACCUGUGAUUGGUGACCUCAUACGGAAUAGGGGAGUUGUUUGAAAACAACAUCGCCGCUGUCGGGAGGUUUGCUGCGGGGAGUUCGAGGUGACCUAUCUCUGCAUGGACUACACCACCAGGGAGGCCCUCGCUCUGCGAGGGUGGGGAGCUCUUCGACCGGAUCGUUGUGAGGGGGCACUACACGGAGCACGCCGCCACUGUGGUCACCAAAACCAUCGUCGAGGUCGUGUAGGUGAACUUGGAAGUCCUUAUUACAUGGCUCCGGAGGUGUGAAAGAGAAACUAUGGCCAAUAGGUUGAUGUUUGGAGUGUAGGAGUGAUUCUUUACAUUCUUCUUUGUGGUGUCCCUCCGUUCUGGGCAGAAACUGAAGAAGGUGUUGCUCAAGCAAUUAUCCGGUCUGUCACUGAUUUUAAAAGAGAUCCAUGGCCGAGGGUCUCAGAUAAUGUAAAAGACCUUGUCAGGGCCCAGAUCCAAGGAGGCGUUUGACAGCUCAACAGGUUCCUGAUGUUACUUGAUGUUGUAUCAGUAUACAACAAGGUUACUGAUCUUACGGAUAAAAAGCAGGCUGUUAAGAUCAGUAUUGAUAAAGUACAGG